GAGUAAUGUCUGGGAAACUGCCUGAUGGAGGGGGAUAACUACUGGAAACGGUGGCUAAUACCGCAUAACGUCGCAAGACCAAAGAGGGGGACCUUCGGGCCUCUUGCCAUCAGAUGUGCCCAGAUGGGAUUAGCUUGUUGGUGAGGUAACGGCUCACCAAGGCGACGAUCCCUAGCUGGUCUGAGAGGAUGACCAGCCACACUGGAACUGAGACACGGUCCAGACUCCUACGGGAGGCAGCAGUGGGGAAUAUUGCACAAUGGGCGCAAGCCUGAUGCAGCCAUGCCGCGUGUAUGAAGAAGGCCUUCGGGUUGUAAAGUACUUUCAGCGGGGAGGAAGGUGUUGUGGUUAAUAACCGCAGCAAUUGACGUUACCCGCAGAAGAAGCACCGGCUAACUCCGUGCCAGCAGCCGCGGUAAUACGGAGGGUGCAAGCGUUAAUCGGAAUUACUGGGCGUAAAGCGCACGCAGGCGGUCUGUCAAGUCGGAUGUGAAAUCCCCGGGCUCAACCUGGGAACUGCAUUCGAAACUGGCAGGCUUGAGUCUUGUAGAGGGGGGUAGAAUUCCAGGUGUAGCGGUGAAAUGCGUAGAGAUCUGGAGGAAUACCGGUGGCGAAGGCGGCCCCCUGGACAAAGACUGACGCUCAGGUGCGAAAGCGUGGGGAGCAAACAGGAUUAGAUACCCUGGUAGUCCACGCCGUAAACGAUGUCUACUUGGAGGUUGUGCCCUUGAGGCGUGGCUUCCGGAGCUAACGCGUUAAGUAGACCGCCUGGGGAGUACGGCCGCAAGGUUAAAACUCAAAUGAAUUGACGGGGGCCCGCACAAGCGGUGGAGCAUGUGGUUUAAUUCGAUGCAACGCGAAGAACCUUACCUGGUCUUGACAUCCACAGAAGAAUCCAGAGAUGGAUUUGUGCCUUCGGGAACUGUGAGACAGGUGCUGCAUGGCUGUCGUCAGCUCGUGUUGUGAAAUGUUGGGUUAAGUCCCGCAACGAGCGCAACCCUUAUCCUUUGUUGCCAGCGGUUAGGCCGGGAACUCAAAGGAGACUGCC
Molecule: ribosomal RNA, 1048 nt
Filed under: Salmonella enterica subsp. enterica serovar Enteritidis
Lineage: Bacteria; Pseudomonadati; Pseudomonadota; Gammaproteobacteria; Enterobacterales; Enterobacteriaceae
Description: bacterial SSU rRNA
Rfam family: Bacterial small subunit ribosomal RNA
Source: RNAcentral